Molecule: ribosomal RNA, 388 nt
Filed under: uncultured bacterium
Lineage: Bacteria
Description: bacterial SSU rRNA
Rfam family: Bacterial small subunit ribosomal RNA
Source: RNAcentral
AUUGAACGCUGGCGGCAUGCUUUACACAUGCAAGUCGAACGGUAACAGGCCUUCGGGUGCUGACGAGUGGCGAACGGGUGAGUAAUGCAUCGGAACGUGCCCAAUCGUGGGGGAUAACGUAGCGAAAGUUACGCUAAUACCGCAUAAGCCCUGAGGGGGAAAGUGGGGGACCGCAAGGCCUCACGCGAAUGGAGCGGCCGAUGUCAGAUUAGCUAGUUGGUGGGGUAAAGGCUCACCAAGGCGACGAUCUGUAGCGGGUCUGAGAGGAUGAUCCGCCACACUGGGACUGAGACACGGCCCAGACUCCUACGGGAGGCAGCAGUGGGGAAUUUUGGACAAUGGGCGCAAGCCUGAUCCAGCCAUGCCGCGUGCGGGACGAAGGCCUCGG